CCAACCGCUAUGAUACCCAUGAUCCUGCUCCACCUCUUGCGAUGGAUACCGCACGAUUCUUCCAUCCUCUGACAAGUCGCGACAAUGGACGCCGCUCCACUCCCCACGACAGACUCCACGUGGCAUGUCCCGGUGAUAGCCACGAUUCCACUCCACUACUCUUCACAACAAACUCCUCCUGACUCUGGACGGCCCACUGCC
RNAcentral lists this long non-coding RNA (201 nucleotides) under Elaeis guineensis (African oil palm). RNAcentral's name for it is "long non-coding RNA (EGUI_LNC056654)". Lineage: Eukaryota; Viridiplantae; Streptophyta; Magnoliopsida; Arecales; Arecaceae. The record is from RNAcentral.